This 542-nucleotide ribosomal RNA is filed under the name uncultured ciliate. RNAcentral describes it as "SSU rRNA". It matches the Rfam family "Eukaryotic small subunit ribosomal RNA", at positions 15 to 565 of the family's 1831-position model. Lineage: Eukaryota; Ciliophora. The record is from RNAcentral.
UGCCAGUAGUCAUAUGCUUGUCUUAAAGAUUAAGCCAUGCAUGUCUAAGUAUAAAUAGUAUACAGUGAAACUGCGAAUGGCUCAUUAAAACAGUUAUAGUUUAUUUGAUAAUUGAAUUCUACAUGGAUAACCGUAGUAAUUCUAGAGCUAAUACAUGCUGUAAAACCUGACUUUUCGGAAAGGUUGUAUUUAUUAGAUAUCAAACCAAUAAUCUUUCGGGAUUAUUGUGAUGAUUCAUAAUAACUGAUCGGAUCAAGGUGUACCUUGAUAGAUCAUUCAAGUUUCUGCCCUAUCAGCUUUCGAUGGUAGUGUAUUGGACUACCAUGGCAGUCACGGGUAACGGAGAAUUAGGGUUCGAUUCCGGAGAGGGAGCCUGAGAAACGGCUACCACAUCUACGGAAGGCAGCAGGCGCGUAAAUUACCCAAUCCUGAUUCAGGGAGGUAGUGACAAGAAAUAACAACUCGGGGCCUCACGGCUUACGAGAUUGCAAUGAGAACAAUUUAAAUCUCUUAGCGAGGAACAAUUGGAGGGCAAGUCUGGU